UUAUUUAUAGUGCUUAGAUCUGAAUUUUAUGUUUUCCUUUUCUACUUUCUUGGAUGUUGUGUGCUUAUUCAGCUUUGUUAUUUUGGAUUCAACUAGUAAUUUGAAGAAAUUUCAGAUUAGGAUUGAUUUUAGAGCCCCAAAACCAAAAUCUCUGUGAAUCUCAAAUCAGUUGUUGAUGGUUUUUGGGUUCUCUAGAAUCAACUUUCUUGAUUUAAUCAAAAUUGUGAUAUAUGAUUGCUUAGAAGAUUUGUAGUGGCAGAAUGUGUACCUUAUUUGAAUGCAUCGAUCACACUCCUCCCUUUUCCAAAAAAAAGUUGAUGGGCAAAGAGGAUCUCUCAACAGUGCUUAGAUUAAACAUUUGGAUUUGUCAGUCUCUUUGAACUCUUCUCUGAGGUUCCUGGAGUUCGGAAGCUCCUACAUUUUGCACUUAAUCAAAGCUACUUGAUGAUUGUAACUUUGUUUUUUUGUAGUAAUUGCUUAAAAUUAUGUUUGAACAGAACGGUGAGGUGUGGAUUCUGUUUUUGCUGUUUCUUAUAGGUAUCUAAAAAUGGUUCAUUUCUUAUAUUGUAAAAAGACACAACAAAAAAUUGUGAUCUAUGAUUGCUUAGAAUAUUUGUAGUGGCAGAAUGUUUAACCUAUUUGGAUAGCAUUGAUCACAUGCGCAGAAUGUUUAACCUGUUUGGAUAGCAUUGGUCACACACACUUCUCCCUUUUCCCAAGAAAAAAAAAAGGAAAUUGAUGGGUAAAGUGGAUCUCUCAAUAAUGCUUACAUUAAAACAUUUGGAGUUUGUUAGUCUCUUUGAACUCUUCCUUGAGGUUCCUGGAGUUCGGAUACUCCUACAUUUUGCAAUUAAUCAAAGCCACUUAGUGAUUGUAACCUUUUCUUUUUGUAGUAAUUGCUUAACAUUAUGUUUGAACAAAACGAGGCAUGGAUUCUGUUUUUGCUGUUGCUUAUAGGUAUUUAAAAAUGGUUCAUUUCUUACCUUGUAAGAAGACUUCUGAUGCAUCCAAAACAGCUAAAAAAUAUGAUCUAUGAUUGCUCAGAAUAUUUGUAGUGGCAGAAUGUUUAACCUAUUUGGAUAGCAUUAAUCACACACACUCCUCCCUUUUCCCAAAAGAAAAUUGAUGGGUAAACUGGAUCUAUCAACAUUGCUUACAUUAGACAUCUGGAGUUUGUUAGUCUCUUUGAACUCUUUUUUGAGGUUCCUAGAAUUCGAAAGUUCCUACAUUUUACAUUUACUCAAAGCCACUUGAUGAUCGUAACCUUUUUAUUUUUUUGUAGUAAUUGCUUAACAUUAUGUUUGAACAGAACGAGACAUGGAUUCUGUUUUUGCUGUUGCUUAUAGGUAUUUAAAAAUAGUUCAUUCCUUACCUUGUAAAAAGACUUCUGAUGUCCAGAACGACUAAAAAAUGUGAUUAUGAUUGCUUAGAAUAUUUAUAGUGACAGAAUGUUUAACUUAUUUGGAUAGCAUUGAUCACACUCCUCCCUUUUCCCAAAAAUAAUUGAUGGGCAAAGUGGAUCCAUCAACAAUGCUUACAUUAAACAUCUGGAGUUUGUUAGUCUCUUUGAACUCUUCUUUGAGGUUCCUGGAGUUCGGAAGCUCCUACAUUUUGCACUUAAUCAAAGCCACUUGAUGUUGGUAACUUUUAAUUUUCUUUUUUGUAGUAAUUGCUUAACAUUAUGUUUGAACAGAACGAGGCAUGGAUUCUGUUCUUGCUGUUGCUUAUAGGUAUUUAAAAAUGGUUCAUUCCUUACCUUGUAAAAAGACUUCUGAUGUCCAAAACGACUAAAAAAUGUGAUUAUGAUUGCUUAGAAUAUUUAUAGUGACAGAAUGUUUAACUUAUUUGGAUAUCAUUGAUCACACUCCUCCCUUUUCCCAAAAAUAAUUGAUGGGCAAAGUGGAUCCAUCAACAAUGCUUACAUUAAACAUCUGGAGUUUGUUAGUCUCUUUGAACUCUUCUUUGAGGUUCCUGGAGUUCGGAAGCUCCUAUAUUUUGCACUUAAUCAAAGCCACUUGAUGUUGGUAACCUUUUAAUUUUCUUUUUUGUAGUAAUUGCUUAACAUUAUGUUUGAACAGAACGAGGCAUGGAUUCUGUUCUUGCUGUUGCUUAUAGGUAUUUAAAAAUGGUUCAUUCCUUACCUUGUAAAAAGACUUCUGAUGUCCAAAACGACUAAAAAAUGUGAUUAUGAUUGCUUAGAAUAUUUAUAGUGACAGAAUGUUUAACUUAUUUGCCUAGCAUUGAUCACACUCCUCCCUUUUCCCAAAAAUAAUUGAUGGGCAAAGUGGAUCCAUCAACAAUGCUUACAUUAAACAUUUGGAGUUUGUUAGUCUCUUUGAACUCUUCUUUGAGGUUCCUGGAGUUUGGAAGCUCCUACAUUUUGCACUUAAUCAAAGCCACUUGAUGUUGGUAACCUUUAAAUUUUUUUUUUUGUAGUAAUUGCUUAACAUUAUGUUUAAGCAGAAUGAGGUAUGGAUUCUUUUUUUUGCUGUUGCUUAUAGGUAUUUGAAAAUGGUUCAUUUCUUACCUUGUAAGAAGACUUCUGAUGUGUCCAAAACAACUAAAUUGUUUUCAAGGAGACUGUUCAGUUGCAUGGCAAAGCCUCCAUUUUUCAGGGUCUCAUCGAAUGAGAUAGCAAAUUAAUAGUUGUGAGGAGAUUGAUCGUAAAUAUAUGGUAUCAUAAGCAUAUUAAUAAUACAAAUUAGAUCCGAGUGGAGUUUGAACUCGAGAAUUCACAUUCUGAAUACAACUCUAUUACCAGUAAUCCAAAGUUAUUAAUAUGAAUUGAUUGCUUAUUAGGCAAGUAAGCCACUGUGACUGCUUACUCCUUUUUGUUGAAAGAAAUUAAAUUUUUUUGUGUUCUGUUUCUAAGUAAUCAGUAAUUUUGUUUUUCAGUAUCUUAGUUGAUAAGAGUUAUGCCUUGGAGUUACAAUUCUGGACUACAUGUGUUAUGUCUUUUGAGGGCCUUUUAUAGUGUCCUUGAAUUUGUCGAAAGUGCCAUCAAAGUAUAUCUCUUAUGCAUUUGGUUAUCCUGUGCAGGUC
RNAcentral lists this long non-coding RNA (3042 nucleotides) under Ricinus communis (castor bean). RNAcentral describes it as "long non-coding RNA (RCOM_LNC001394)". The record is from RNAcentral. Lineage: Eukaryota; Viridiplantae; Streptophyta; Magnoliopsida; Malpighiales; Euphorbiaceae.